RNAcentral lists this ribosomal RNA (679 nucleotides) under Salmonella enterica. Its description in RNAcentral is "bacterial SSU rRNA". It matches the Rfam family "Bacterial small subunit ribosomal RNA", at positions 1 to 669 of the family's 1533-position model. Lineage: Bacteria; Pseudomonadati; Pseudomonadota; Gammaproteobacteria; Enterobacterales; Enterobacteriaceae. The record is from RNAcentral.
AAAUUGAAGAGUUUGAUCAUGGCUCAGAUUGAACGCUGGCGGCAGGCCUAACACAUGCAAGUCGAACGGUAACAGGAAGCAGCUUGCUGCUUCGCUGACGAGUGGCGGACGGGUGAGUAAUGUCUGGGAAACUGCCUGAUGGAGGGGGAUAACUACUGGAAACGGUGGCUAAUACCGCAUAACGUCGCAAGACCAAAGAGGGGGACCUUCGGGCCUCUUGCCAUCAGAUGUGCCCAGAUGGGAUUAGCUUGUUGGUGAGGUAACGGCUCACCAAGGCGACGAUCCCUAGCUGGUCUGAGAGGAUGACCAGCCACACUGGAACUGAGACACGGUCCAGACUCCUACGGGAGGCAGCAGUGGGGAAUAUUGCACAAUGGGCGCAAGCCUGAUGCAGCCAUGCCGCGUGUAUGAAGAAGGCCUUCGGGUUGUAAAGUACUUUCAGCGGGGAGGAAGGUGUUGCGGUUAAUAACCGCAGCAAUUGACGUUACCCGCAGAAGAAGCACCGGCUAACUCCGUGCCAGCAGCCGCGGUAAUACGGAGGGUGCAAGCGUUAAUCGGAAUUACUGGGCGUAAAGCGCACGCAGGCGGUCUGUCAAGUCGGAUGUGAAAUCCCCGGGCUCAACCUGGGAACUGCAUUCGAAACUGGCAGGCUUGAGUCUUGUAGAGGGGGGUAGAAUUC